This 832-nucleotide ribosomal RNA is filed under the name uncultured bacterium. RNAcentral describes it as "bacterial SSU rRNA". It matches the Rfam family "Bacterial small subunit ribosomal RNA", at positions 70 to 912 of the family's 1533-position model. The record is from RNAcentral.
AUCUCGGUGCUUGCACCGGGUGAUCAGUGGCGAACGGGUGAGUAACACGUGAGCAACCUGCCCCCGACCCUGGGAUAACCCCGAGAAAUCGGAGCUAAUACCGGAUACGAGACGCACAGGCAUCUGUAGCGUCUGGAAAGAUUCAUCGGUCAGGGAUGGGCUCGCGGCCUAUCAGCUAGUUGGUGAGGUAGUGGCUCACCAAGGCGACGACGGGUAGCCGGCCUGAGAGGGCGACCGGCCACACUGGGACUGAGACACGGCCCAGACUCCUACGGGAGGCAGCAGUGGGGAAUAUUGCACAAUGGGCGCAAGCCUGAUGCAGCGACGCCGCGUGGGGGAUGAAGGCCUUCGGGUUGUAAACCCCUUUCAGCAGGGAAGAAGCGAAAGUGACGGUACCUGCAGAAGAAGCGCCGGCUAACUACGUGCCAGCAGCCGCGGUAAUACGUAGGGCGCAAGCGUUGUCCGGAUUUAUUGGGCGUAAAGAGCUCGUAGGCGGUUUGUCGCGUCUGCUGUGAAAACCCGAGGCUCAACCUCGGGCCUGCAGUGGGUACGGGCAGACUAGAGUGCGGUAGGGGAGACUGGAAUUCCUGGUGUAGCGGUGGAAUGCGCAGAUAUCAGGAGGAACACCGAUGGCGAAGGCAGGUCUCUGGGCCGCAACUGACGCUGAGGAGCGAAAGCAUGGGGAGCGAACAGGAUUAGAUACCCUGGUAGUCCAUGCCGUAAACGUUGGGCACUAGGUGUGGGGCUCAUUCCACGAGUUCCGUGCCGCAGCAAACGCAUUAAGUGCCCCGCCUGGGGAGUACGGCCGCAAGGCUAAAACUCAAAGGAAUUG